Molecule: ribosomal RNA, 401 nt
Filed under: Veillonella parvula
Lineage: Bacteria; Bacillati; Bacillota; Negativicutes; Veillonellales; Veillonellaceae
Description: bacterial SSU rRNA
Rfam family: Bacterial small subunit ribosomal RNA
Source: RNAcentral
GACGAACGCUGGCGGCGUGCUUAACACAUGCAAGUCGAACGAAGAGCGAUGGAAGCUUGCUUCUAUCAAUCUUAGUGGCGAACGGGUGAGUAACGCGUAAUCAACCUGCCCUUCAGAGGGGGACAACAGUUGGAAACGACUGCUAAUACCGCAUACGAUCUAACCUCGGCAUCGAGGAUAGAUGAAAGGUGGCCUCUAUUUAUAAGCUAUCACUGAAGGAGGGGAUUGCGUCUGAUUAGCUAGUUGGAGGGGUAACGGCCCACCAAGGCGAUGAUCAGUAGCCGGUCUGAGAGGAUGAACGGCCACAUUGGGACUGAGACACGGCCCAGACUCCUACGGGAGGCAGCAGUGGGGAAUCUUCCGCAAUGGACGAAAGCCUGACGGAGCAACGCCGCGUGAGU